RNAcentral lists this ribosomal RNA (440 nucleotides) under uncultured bacterium. RNAcentral describes it as "partial 16S ribosomal RNA". It matches the Rfam family "Bacterial small subunit ribosomal RNA", at positions 338 to 795 of the family's 1533-position model. The record is from RNAcentral.
CCUACGGGAGGCAGCAGUGGGGAAUAUUGCACAAUGGGGGAAACCCUGAUGCAGCGACGCCGCGUGAAUGAAGAAGUAUCUCGGUAUUUAAAGCUCUAUCAGCAGAGAAGUAAAUUAAGGUACCUGACUAUGAAGCCCCGGCUAACUACGUGCCAGCAGCCGCGGUAAUACGUAGGCGGCAAGCGUUAUCCGGAUUUACUGGGUGUAAAGGGAGCGUAGACGGGGCUGCAAGUCCGUAGUGAAAUCCCAUGGCUUAACCAUGGUACUGCUAUGGAUACUGUGGAGCUUGAGUGCGGGAGGGGCAGGCGGAAGUCGUAGUGUAGCGGUGAAAUGCGUAGAUAUUAGGAGGAACACCGGCGGCGAAGGCGGCCUGCUGGACCGUAACUGACGUUGAGGCUCGAAAGUGUGGGGAGCAAACAGGAUUAGAUACCCCUGUAGUC